UACGUAGGGUGCGAGCGUUGUCCGGAAUCACUGGGCGUAAAGGGCGCGUAGGCGGCGCGGAUAGUCGGCGGUGAAAGCCCGGAGCUCAACUCCGGGUCGGCCGUCGAUACUUCCGGGCUUGAGCACUGUAGAGGCAGAUGGAAUUCCGGGUGUAGCGGUGGAAUGCGUAGAGAUCCGGAAGAACACCGGUGGCGAAGGCGGUCUGCUGGGCAGUUGCUGACGCUGAUGCGCGACAGCGUGGGGAGCAAACAGG
RNAcentral lists this ribosomal RNA (253 nucleotides) under uncultured bacterium. RNAcentral describes it as "partial 16S ribosomal RNA". It matches the Rfam family "Bacterial small subunit ribosomal RNA", at positions 524 to 776 of the family's 1533-position model. The record is from RNAcentral.